AUGCACCCCGUGCACGCCGGUUCCGCCAUGCCGUCCACCCCGCCUGACGGGUGCUAGCGACGUUUCGCAGCC
Molecule: small RNA, 72 nt
Filed under: Xanthomonas campestris
Lineage: Bacteria; Pseudomonadati; Pseudomonadota; Gammaproteobacteria; Lysobacterales; Lysobacteraceae
Description: sRNA sX9
Rfam family: Xanthomonas sRNA sX9
Source: RNAcentral